UUUAGUGGCCUCAGUAGAGCCAGUUAGUGGCCUCAGUACAGCCAGUUAGUGGCCUCAGUACAGCCAGUUAGUGGCCUCAGUACAGCCAGUUAGUGGCCUCAGUACAGCCAGUUAGUGGCCUCAGUACAGCCAGUUAGUGGCCUCAGCAGUCACGUGGUAUACUACUCGUAUCACAGCUCAGCAAUAGAAGCUAUAAUGCUAAAAGUAUGGCACAUUAUCUUCUGCGCUGGAUCACUGCAGGAUCAGACAAAUAAAAAUGUUCUUUGAGUAUUGGAAACACUUAAAUUAAAGCACUAGACAGGAAGAGCCGAGAGCUGAUGGAAGCUUUCCUGAAUUACUUGCUGUUUUUGUCCUUCACUGUUCUAAGAGGUCAUGGCUUACUAAAGCUGGUGUACCAACUUGGCAGGACUAGAAGUGGUGAGAUAAUGUGUUCAAUAGCCAAGGACAGGGAGUGUACAGGUCACUCACAGCUCUGCAAAGAAUCCUGUGGAAACAAGAACAUCCCCUCAGAUGAGUAGAACACGCAGGUCUAAUAACUUUACAAAUAAAUUCUGGUGGUAUUGGCUGAUGGUACCGACAAUUAGGCA
Molecule: long non-coding RNA, 587 nt
Organism: Hyla sarda
Lineage: Eukaryota; Metazoa; Chordata; Amphibia; Anura; Hylidae
Exons: 3
Source: RefSeq, a predicted model, not a curated record